GCUUUCUGUGCUUCCAGAGGCAGACUAGACUCCUCUUGGUGGUGUGAGAGCCCCUAAAAGACAGCAUUUAUCCAGAAAAAGCAGUAGGAAUAUUAACAGCAGCAGAGCAACAUGGUGCAAGAGAAGUCUACUGGAAGGAAACUGCUGUCAUAAGGUU
RNAcentral lists this long non-coding RNA (157 nucleotides) under Junco hyemalis (dark-eyed junco). RNAcentral's name for it is "lncRNA (ENSJHYG00000012111.1)". Lineage: Eukaryota; Metazoa; Chordata; Aves; Passeriformes; Passerellidae. The record is from RNAcentral.